Molecule: transfer RNA, 73 nt
Filed under: Cordylochernes scorpioides
Lineage: Eukaryota; Metazoa; Arthropoda; Arachnida; Pseudoscorpiones; Chernetidae
Description: tRNA-Thr
Source: RNAcentral
GUCCAGGGAUGGGAAUCGAAUCCACAACGUUCCGCUUACCGGGCAGAUGCCAUGUCCACUAGGCUACCCUGGA